This is a long non-coding RNA of Daphnia magna, 2558 nucleotides long. RefSeq lists it as uncharacterized. The transcript is spliced from 6 exons. Lineage: Eukaryota; Metazoa; Arthropoda; Branchiopoda; Diplostraca; Daphniidae. The record is from RefSeq and is a predicted model, not a curated record.
ACGGUCUCAUUUUUUUAAUCGCCUUUUCUCUUAUAUCCGCCCAACAAUUGGGAAACCGUUUGACGUCUGAGGCAGCAGCUGCAGCAGCCCGUCGCACACACAAAACUUUCCGAGUCCAGUUUUUUAUUUUAUUUUUUUUUCUGCGUGUUUGUCUUUUGAACGCACACGAAUGAUAUCAAGCCAAUGUCACAUAGUUCCAUAACGAGGUGAUUUCUUACAAGAAUGACAUUGAAAUUUAAACAAAACAAAGAAGAGAAACUACCAAAUAUUCAAUUGCAAAGUUGAGGCUAAAUUCAAAAGGCAUUUACGUGUUCACCUUCCCAUUCAAGUUCUCACAUCGCCUGGUCUCCAUCGGCCAUGAUCCGUUGCUUUGCUUGCACAAAAGUCGAAGUCAUUUUUAACUAAAGUUGAUUAAUCAGUCGUCGUUGUUUCUAACAAUGGCAUAAGAUUAACCAGCUCUUUUUUUUUAAACUAAAGUUGAUUAAUCAGUCGUCAUUGUUUCUAAAAAUGGCAUAAGAUUAACCAGCUCAUUUAAAAAAAACUAAAGUUGAUUAAUCAGUCGUCGUUGUUUCUAACAAUGGCAUAAGAUUAACCAGCACAUUUUUUAAAAAACUAAAGUUGAUUAAUCAGUCGCCGUGGUUUCUACCAAUGGCAUAAGAUUAACCUAACAACACAACAAGCAGCUCUAUAGAAGAAAAUAAUAAAGAACGAAGAAGAGAGAAUGAUAAAGUGGUGUGUGUAUGGUGAAGAUUUUUCAAGCGCGGUCAAUUCGGUGUGUUUUUUUUAUACGGCCACAGCAUUUUUUAUUGCACCUCAUUCAUUCUACUAUGCACAGUGUGUUGUAUAUACACAAGCUUGGUGGCUUUCUGUCACCCUAGCAACGGUAGGCAGAGUAAAGGUUGACGGAAACUGAAAGAAAACAAAAAGAAGGAGACAUAGUGGGUUUCUCGUUUCCCUUUUUUUACCAUUAACUUUUGAGUCUGAAAGAGCCAACAUCGAGUGUAACCAACAUCGCAUUUUUCACGUAAUUGUUAACAGUGGCCAUUGUUACCUAUGCCCUGUCGAUGGCCAACACUCCGACCAAAGAAACUACGUUUUAUCUGCUACAUGGCAUGAGACGUGAAAAUGGUUAAAUAAAAUUUUCAAUUGCCCAUUUGAAACUUCUUUCAUACAAUUAGAAUCGUACGUGACUUGGUUUACUGGUCGAAGGAUCCUGUUCCAUCCAAUCAAAUUGUUUAUGAAAAUCAGGGGCCUUUCCUCCAGCCUCGUUUGCCCAUGCACCAAGACGCCGUGGCUGUUGAGGCCACAUCCUACUCUCUGCUCGUCUAUUUGGCACGUAAUGGCAUCGGUGAUCUCCAGGAGAGGGUCGUCACUUGGCUCAACACGAUGCGGAUGGUGGAUGGUGGUUUCGUCUCCAUCUACGACAGCAUCGUGGUUACGGACGACAGCAUCUUGACUAGCAAAGUGUUUAUGCGUGAAGCAGUCGAACAGCAAAUUGAACGUAACCGAUUGGAUCAAAUGCGCGAGGCAGCCAUCAAUAUCCAGAGGGCCGUAUGGACCCAUCAGUUGAGGAAGGACUUUCCCAUUCAACGACGAAGUGCGGUGUUGAUCCAGGUGUGGGUCCGUCGUUAUCAGGCUCGCAAAAGAUUCAACACCAUCCGACGUGGUGUGAUCCUCGCCCAGGCUCAAUUCCGAGCCACUCGUCAAAGACGAUUGUACAAGGAACUUAGACAAUAGUUGCAACGUAGAGAAGCAGAACGAAUAUGUUAUUAUGUUAUUCGUUCCCAGAGAAUGUUAUCAUUAAUGAGUUGUUUGCUUUGGUAGAUGAUGAAAAUUUACGCACUCACGAGUGUUAUGGCACUUGGCGAAUGGGUCAAGAAACAACCUCAUUUACAAGCAAAAUCCCUAGAUGCCAAGUUUCUGUUGAGAUGUUUACGCGGAUGCAAAUACAGCAUGGAGAAGACAAAGAAGAAGCUGGACCUGACGUUAACUUUACGCAUUGCCCUGCCGGAAUUUUUCAGGGAUGGCAUCCGAUGUCUCCUGAAAAUCAAGAGGCUCAAAAUAAGUUUGGGGGGAACCCUUCUUCUGCCCGGGUAUGAUCGCCAAAGCCGUAACGUGGUGAUAAUCCGACCCGAUUGAGAAGAUUCAACGGGCCAGUUUUAUGAUUUAGGAUAUAGUGAGUGAUGAAGACGAGCAGAUGUUUGUUUGUCAGAUUUCUCCGAUUACGCCAUGAAUCACUUUACGGCCAUGCCGUUCGCCAUGAUGAAGAAGCUGAUGCUUUGUUGAAAGAUGCUUCGCCAAUCCGUCCGAAGAAUGGAAUGAACUACAUCCACACGCCUUCCCUCUUUAAUUUGAUCAACAAUCUUGGUUGUAACGGUUGUGAACCGCAAUAGUCGCCCACUGUAAUAAAAAUCUCGGAUAAUAAUCAGAACAUACUGUUCCUCAUCAUGUGUGGGUCGGAAAUCUUAAAGCUGAAAAUUUUUUGGUUUGUUCACCAUAAGAAGAUCACUGCCAUUCGCUUUCUACUGAAAUCCGAAGGGAAAAUCAAUGGAGGUGCU